GAGGUCGCAAAGAGUCAGACACAACUGAGCGACUGAACUGAACUGAACUAGAAAUAAAUAAACAGUAAAUUUCAGGAGUUUUUUUACCUUCUUUAUUCUCUGGAGACUAGCUGUUGUCAUGCGUUAUGAAAAGAGCAUACAUCAGAAAGCAAGAAAACUCCUUAGAAAUCAUCUGACCCAACACCCUCAUUUGAUAGAUGACAAAGAAAUACCCAGAAAGUCAUAUACCAAAGUCAUUCAAGCUUUUUAGGGCUUCGCCGGCCUAAGGCAUCUUUCCCUACAUUCACUCUACGGAUUGUCUUCUGUCAUGUCCCUUCCCACAUGCCAUUAUUCUCUCACUCUCCUCUAACUUCAAAAGGUCAGACUGAAAACCAGGAAGAGAAAAAUGCUAAGAUCAAGAUCUCAUCUAGAAAAAAAACACACAUAAUUUUGUCCUGAUAUUUCCAGAUUUGGGGUUUUUGAUGAGAAAUAGCCACUCUUGUUGAAAGGAUGCAAAUAAGCAUCUGCAAAGAAUUCCGUUUAACACGGUCAACAUUUUAAAACCUUGGCUAACUUGGAUGCCAGUCCUCUAGAAUGCUCAGCAAUAUGGAAUGAUACUAAAUCCAGUACUAUGUAGACUAAAGUAAAAACUUAGGGGGAAAAUCUUCUCAACAGAGAAGAUUAGAGAAUUCACAACUAGGUUGUUUCAUAACAAAAUGGAUUUCCUUUUUAAUAGAGUAGAAAUUAAGUAUUUGGGGAGGAAAAAAAGCAGUUCUUAAGUAUUCAAUAACAAAUGAGCACAGCUGAGGAAACCCAAAGACCAAAAGGCAAGAAACAAUACAAUGGUAUCAGUCACUUCUUUGCACGGGGAGGUGGGGGGCGGUGGGGGGAAGAAGUAAUGUUUAUGAAAUAUCAAGACUUUGAAGAAUCAAAAGCCAAGAAUGUGCGUGCUACCAAUCACAACGAAAUAUUAAGUGUUUUCUGCUCUUUUUGAGGAUAUGGAGUAAUUAUAAAUGAAUUUUUUAAAGGACUUCCAUUUGUAAGUUGAAAGGAAUUCUGAGGCAUAAAUUCAGUUAACCUAAAACCUGAAUUUGUUUUCAGAUAGCUGUAGGAAUACACCAACAGUCAGACCCACACAUAGAAAUACAUUGAAG
RNAcentral lists this long non-coding RNA (1133 nucleotides) under Capra hircus (goat). RNAcentral's name for it is "lncRNA (ENSCHIG00010010295.1)". The record is from RNAcentral. Lineage: Eukaryota; Metazoa; Chordata; Mammalia; Artiodactyla; Bovidae.